AAGACUGGCGCUCUCAAUGAAUCUUUGCCACAACGUCUGCUAACCUCCUUUUCUCUGGAUCAUCUACUCACCUUCACAGUUUAGUCACGCUUUUCCUGGACGCUGGUCAUCUCUAUUCAUUUACAGUCACGUCCUACGCUAACUCUGUUCCUUGUCCUCGGUUGCCUGUCUCCCUGCCUUCUCCUCACGGUCCAUCACUGGACCACUGUUCUUGGACCCACAGCUCGUUGAUACUCACCCGGACCGCCUCGACUACUUCCCCCCACGCCACUCUUUGCCCACCAACAAAAUUCAUUUCCAAAUAUGAAGUGUGUUCAUCAAUCUCUAUAUCAGAAUGGACCCCCCCCCCCCAAGCUCCAGUGCCUCCACCACAGAACCACCCACUCCUUCAACAUCGGCAUCGUCUGGCACGACACAGCAUCAUAUAACUGGUCAAGGCCUACUGUAUGCUGCAGCCUAAAGGCAGAGUUGGGUUGCUGAGGCCUGAGUGAUUGCCGGCCUUCUACUUACAGGGUGGUGGGUCUUGGAGGACAACUGCUGAUCACCAUUAAAGUAGUUGACAUGAUGAUGCCACAACUGACUUGUGGAAUCGCUGGCUCUGGCCUUGGACUGUGUGUUUUAUCCCUUUAACAAGUGGGAGACGGGAC
Molecule: long non-coding RNA, 647 nt
Organism: Oreochromis aureus
Lineage: Eukaryota; Metazoa; Chordata; Actinopteri; Cichliformes; Cichlidae
Source: Ensembl